This 395-nucleotide ribosomal RNA is filed under the name uncultured bacterium. RNAcentral describes it as "partial 16S ribosomal RNA". It matches the Rfam family "Bacterial small subunit ribosomal RNA", at positions 523 to 918 of the family's 1533-position model. The record is from RNAcentral.
AUACGUAGGGUGCAAGCGUUAAUCGGAAUUACUGGGCGUAAAGCGUGCGCAGGCGGUUUUGUAAGACAGAGGUGAAAUUCCCGGGCGCAACCUGGGAACUGCAUUUGUGACUGCAAGGCUAGAGUACGGUAGCGGGGGAGGGAAUUCCGCGUUUAGACGAGAAAUGAGUAGAUAUGCGGAGGAACAACGAUGGCGAAGGCAAUCCCCUGGGCCUGUACUGACGCUCAUGCACGAAAGCGUGGGGAGCAAACAGGAUUAGAUACCCUGGUAGUCCACGCCCUAAACGAUGUCAACUGGUUGUUGGGUCUUCAUUGACCCAGUAACGAAGCUAACGCGUGAAGUUGACCGCCUGGGGAGUACGGCCGCAAGGUUGAAACGGAAGGGGGUUGAAGGGG